AAAUUGAAGAGUUUGAUCAUGGCUCAGAUUGAACGCUGGCGGCAGGCCUAACACAUGCAAGUCGAACGGUAACAGGAAGAAGCUUGCUUCUUUGCUGACGAGUGGCGGACGGGUGAGUAAUGUCUGGGAAACUGCCUGAUGGAGGGGGAUAACUACUGGAAACGGUAGCUAAUACCGCAUAACGUCGCAAGACCAAAGAGGGGGACCUUCGGGCCUCUUGCCAUCGGAUGUGCCCAGAUGGGAUUAGCUAGUAGGUGGGGUAACGGCUCACCUAGGCGACGAUCCCUAGCUGGUCUGAGAGGAUGACCAGCCACACUGGAACUGAGACACGGUCCAGACUCCUACGGGAGGCAGCAGUGGGGAAUAUUGCACAAUGGGCGCAAGCCUGAUGCAGCCAUGCCGCGUGUAUGAAGAAGGCCUUCGGGUUGUAAAGUACUUUCAGCGGGGAGGAAGGGAGUAAAGUUAAUACCUUUGCUCAUUGACGUUACCCGCAGAAGAAGCACUCGGCUAACUCCGUGCCAGCAGCCGCGGUAAUACGGAGGGUGCAAGCGUUAAUCGGAAUUACUGGGCGUAAAGCGCACGCAGGCGGUUUGUUAAGUCAGAUGUGAAAUCCCCGGGCUCAACCUGGGAACUGCAUCUGAUACUGGCAAGCUUGAGUCUCGUAGAGGGGGGUAGAAUUCCAGGUGUAGCGGUGAAAUGCGUAGAGAUCUGGAGGAAUACCGGUGGCGAAGGCGGCCCCCUGGACGAAGACUGACGCUCAGGUGCGAAAGCGUGGGGAGCAAACAGGAUUAGAUACCCUGGUAGUCCACGCCGUAAACGAUGUCGACUUGGAGGUUGUGCCCUUGAGGCGUGGCUUCCGGAGCUAACGCGUUAAGUCGACCGCCUGGGGAGUACGGCCGCAAGGUUAAAACUCAAAUGAAUUGACGGGGGCCCGCACAAGCGGUGGAGCAUGUGGUUUAAUUCGAUGCAACGCGAAGAACCUUACCUGGUCUUGACAUCCACAGAACUUUCCAGAGAUGGAUUGGUGCCUUCGGGAACUGUGAGACAGGUGCUGCAUGGCUGUCGUCAGCUCGUGUUGUGAAAUGUUGGGUUAAGUCCCGCAACGAGCGCAACCCUUAUCCUUUGUUGCCAGCGGUCCGGCCGGGAACUCAAAGGAGACUGCCAGUGAUAAACUGGAGGAAGGUGGGGAUGACGUCAAGUCAUCAUGGCCCUUACGACCAGGGGCUACACACGUGCUACAAUGGCGCAUACAAAGAGAAGCGACCUCGCGAGAGCAAGCGGACCUCAUAAAGUGCGUCGUAGUCCGGAUUGGAGUCUGCAACUCGACUCCAUGAAGUCGGAAUCGCUAGUAAUCGUGGAUCAGAAUGCCACGGUGAAUACGUUCCCGGGCCUUGUACACACCGCCCGUCACACCAUGGGAGUGAGUUGCAAAAGAAGUAGGUAGCUUAACCUUCGGGAGGGCGCUUACCACUUUGUGAUUCAUGACUGGGGUGAAGUCGUAACAAGGUAACCGUAGGGGAACCUGCGGUUGGAUCACCUCCUUA
Molecule: ribosomal RNA, 1544 nt
Filed under: Escherichia coli
Lineage: Bacteria; Pseudomonadati; Pseudomonadota; Gammaproteobacteria; Enterobacterales; Enterobacteriaceae
Description: bacterial SSU rRNA
Rfam family: Bacterial small subunit ribosomal RNA
Source: RNAcentral